AGACACCCUUCUGGGGCAAGACUUGCUUCAGUGGGGCUUUGGAGCUCACUGAGUCUGCCCCCUGAGUGUGUCCCU
RNAcentral lists this microRNA precursor (75 nucleotides) under Myotis myotis. Its description in RNAcentral is "mir-9229 microRNA precursor family". It matches the Rfam family "mir-9229 microRNA precursor family". The record is from Rfam by way of RNAcentral. Lineage: Eukaryota; Metazoa; Chordata; Mammalia; Chiroptera; Vespertilionidae. RNAcentral also lists the same sequence under 1 other name.